GAUGAACGCUGGCGGCGUGCCUAAUACAUGCAAGUCGAGCGAACAGACGAGGAGCUUGCUCCUCUGACGUUAGCGGCGGACGGGUGAGUAACACGUGGAUAACCUACCUAUAAGACUGGGAUAACUUCGGGAAACCGGAGCUAAUACCGGAUAAUAUAUUGAACCGCAUGGUUCAAUAGUGAAAGACGGUUUUGCUGUCACUUAUAGAUGGAUCCGCGCCGCAUUAGCUAGUUGGUAAGGUAACGGCUUACCAAGGCAACGAUGCGUAGCCGACCUGAGAGGGUGAUCGGCCACACUGGAACUGAGACACGGUCCAGACUCCUACGGGAGGCAGCAGGAGGGAAUCUUCCGCAAUGGGCGAAAGCCUGACGGAGCAACGCCGCGUGAGUGAUGAAGGUCUUCGGAUCGUAAAACUCUGUUAUUAGGGAAGAACAAAUGUGUAAGUAACUAUGCACGUCUUGACGGUACCUAAUCAGAAAGCCACGGCUAACUACGUG
Molecule: ribosomal RNA, 497 nt
Filed under: uncultured bacterium
Lineage: Bacteria
Description: partial 16S ribosomal RNA
Rfam family: Bacterial small subunit ribosomal RNA
Source: RNAcentral